GUUGCAGAAAGAUCCUUACAUGUCCAGGAGGUGAUCUCAUCUUUCAGUUUAGUGGAACCAUUGUUGUGUGCCUUUUGUUAGAAUCAUCCCAUCUUGAUAAUUAAUGUCUCCAAAGAAACAGCUCAAAGUUACCAGUACACAGUGAAAGUUGCAGCAACUUGUUCUCUUUGGAGGGGAUUUCUUGACAUGCUCUAGACUGUUGAUACAAGAAACUACCCUACAGAGACAGGUUCAUGAAAUCUUAUGGAGGCCUGAUUUUUCAUACUAAUAAGGAACCAAGCAAAUACUAUGAAUGCUGAUGGAAUUAGAGAUAACAGGAA
Long non-coding RNA from Acinonyx jubatus (cheetah), 320 nucleotides. RefSeq lists it as uncharacterized. The record is from RefSeq and is a predicted model, not a curated record. NCBI's taxonomy places the organism in Eukaryota, Metazoa, Chordata, Mammalia, Carnivora, Felidae. The transcript is spliced from 3 exons.